Molecule: long non-coding RNA, 318 nt
Filed under: Ananas comosus (pineapple)
Lineage: Eukaryota; Viridiplantae; Streptophyta; Magnoliopsida; Poales; Bromeliaceae
Description: long non-coding RNA (ACOM_LNC035073)
Source: RNAcentral
UCACCAUACUCUUUUUAAAAGCAAUCCACACAAACGGAGCUUCUUCUAUAUAUAUAUAUAGAGUCCGGCUACUAUACUAUCGAUAGUACCAAGCCCUGGGUACUAUUGAGUUUUCUACCGUUAGAUCUACCAUUUGAUCAUUUCCACCCGUUAGAUUAUAUUAUUAAACCAACCACCCACUUAACCCUAUGGGACCACUAUCAAUUUAACCGGGGACCACUAUCAUCCUAACCGCACAUCUUUUCAUCCAACGGCCGAAAACUCAAUAGUACCAAGGGCUUGGUACUAUUGAUAGUAUAGUAGCAUAAUUCUAUAUAU